UCUACACCCUUUGUGACAUACCUAUAACUGUUGCUUCGGCGGGUAGGGUCUCCGUGACCCUCCCGGCCUCCCGCCCCCGGGCGGGUCGGCGCCCGCCGGAGGAUAACCAAACUCUGAUUUAACGACGUUUCUUCUGAGUGGUACAAGCAAAUAAUCAAAACUUUUAACAACGGAUCUCUUGGUUCUGGCAUCGAUGAAGAACGCAGCGAAAUGCGAUAAGUAAUGUGAAUUGCAGAAUUCAGUGAAUCAUCGAAUCUUUGAACGCACAUUGCGCCCGCCAGCAUUCUGGCGGGCAUGCCUGUUCGAGCGUCAUUUCAACCCUCAAGCUCUGCUUGGUGUUGGGGCCCUACAGCUGAUGUAGGCCCUCAAAGGUAGUGGCGGACCCUCCCGGAGCCUCCUUUGCGUAGUAACUUUACGUCUCGCACUGGGAUCCGGAGGGACUCUUGCCGUAAAACCCCCAAUUUUCCAAAGGUUGACCUCGGAUCAGGUAGGAAUACCCGCUGAACUUAAGCAUAUCAAUAAGCGGAGGA
This 530-nucleotide ribosomal RNA is filed under the name Colletotrichum gloeosporioides. RNAcentral describes it as "eukaryotic LSU rRNA". The stretch from base 159 to 312 matches the Rfam family "5.8S ribosomal RNA". The record is from RNAcentral. Lineage: Eukaryota; Fungi; Ascomycota; Sordariomycetes; Glomerellales; Glomerellaceae.